UGUACAAUACUAUUUAGGCUUAUGUGAUUUACUUGUUAGUCAUGCAAAAACAAUAAGUGUAUUCAUAAACACACGCCUCAAACCCUCACAAGUCUCAACACAUACGUCUCAAACCCUCGCAACUCGUAAGUUCUUUUUUGGUCGUCAAGUUCUUCGAUCCUCUUUCAAGAACACGGUAAGAAUAAGGUCUUGCAAAAUCUUUAUGUUUUCACAUAUUAAACUCUCAAUCGUCUUCCCAUUCUUGAUUUUUUUGCUUAUUCGUUGAAUAUGUUAUAUGUAUUUCAUAAGAAUGUGUUUGCUUCUUUGCUUAAAAUCACAAUAACAUUGUUUAUUUAUUGUCGCAGAAAAUUAGAACCAAGAAUUCUAUUUGCCGAAUUUGUAUUUAGUAUUUGCAGAAAAUUAUAUUGUUUGUAGUUCUCAAUCGAAUUCCAUUAAUUAAUGAUAUGCAGGAUUGCUUUGUUGAAAGUCAAAAUUAAUAAAUUUUGUAAAUGGUUAUUGGUCGAUUUUCAAGGCUCAAAGUUAUAGGAUUUAAUGAUUUGUUAACUCUAACCAAUUCAUAGGUGAAACUGUGAAAGUAGAAUUUAAUGGCUUGUUAACCGUAACCUAUUCGUUUGACCCGAUACCCAAUCAGGUUAACCCGAUUAAGAACCCUAUAUACGAUGACAUUUUUUUUGGGGUAUGUUAAGUAAAGAUCUUGAAGACCAUUAAAGCAUCUCUAAUAGUUAAUUUAUACUAUAAUUUAAUAUUUUUACUCAAUAUUAUUGACAUGCCAUCCUUUUAUUAGAUUUAACCUCUAAUUAAAUAUAUCCAAUAAUUAAUCUCUUUCAAUAAUGUUUUUUUUUUUUNUAAAAAUUUUUUCUUUUCAAUAAUUUUUUUUUUUUUUUUUUUUUUUUUUUUUUUUUUUUUUAAAUUUAACAAAUCUAUCUUUAUCUAUUUAAAAUGUUCUAUAUAAUCCAUUCCAUAUAGUUAGUCAAUUUUAAAAACAUAUUAUAUUUUAAUACAAACUAUUUUAAUAAAGAUUAUCAUUAUAAAUUUAUAUUUCAUAAAUAGAAUAUCGAUAAAUAUUUAGUAAAACUAAUUACCUAGUAAUAAAUUAAUAAAUUAAAAACAAAAAUAUACUUAAAUAGUAAAAUAAAAUAUGAGUAGAAGAUGAGGUGGUUGAAUGUAUAAAAUAUUAAAUUAUAUAUUGACCACUAAUAUUUAUUGAAUGAUCAAUAAAAAUAAAUAAAUAAACUUAUUUUAAUGAUGAUAAGUAUUCAAUAUAAAUAAAUAACUAAAUAAAUAAAUAAAUAAAUAAGCUUGAAAAAAAGGCUUCCCAUUCUAUUAUUAUAAAUAUAUGAAACCCCAACUUCUAAUAAACAAUAGAUUUUAAAUUUUUAUUCUUUUUAUCAAAAUUACUUGCUUUCGCAUCAUUUUCAUUAGGUUUAACCACUUAUUAAAUGAUAUUUUAAUGGUUAACUUUUUUUAAUAUUUUUUUUUUUAUAAAAUUUAACUUAUAUAUUCUUAUCUAUUUAAAAUGUUUUAUAUAAUUUACAUAAUCCACUUUAUUUAGUUAGUUAUUUUAACACAUUUCAACAAAGCAUUAUGUACAAAAUAAAUUUAUUUUUCUUUGGAACCCGUAUAAAUAUCUUUUUUACAACAAGAAUAUUUGAUUUUGACAUAUGUGGGCUGUAUGUAAUCCCAAGGAGUACAAGACAUUUGCUAGUUCUCUACUAGCCAUAUUUCUUUUUGCAAUAAUAAUAUUUAAUUUUUUCUAUUGAUUAAAUCUUAUCGACUGGAAUGUCCCUUUAAAUCGUAAAAAAUAUAUAAUAAAUGCAAAUAUAAAUAACUAUUAUUAGACAUUUAUUAUUUCUUUUUGUUAUAUUUUCCUUUUAAAUCGUGCCAAUUUGUUUUCUUAAACUUACAAAUACUAAGAAAUUCCUUAUUAGUUUCUAGUUUAAGGAAUUUGUUGUGCCUUUGGAUCUGAGGUACUGUGUAAGGUAAAUGAUUGGUUUUUUUUAUUUGUCCAUAGGAUUUUGUUUGUUUUCUAGUUUGUUUUACAGGUAACAUGAAUAUAACAAAAGAUUAUGACAUUUGUUCUGCGUUGAUUUUUAAAGUGGGUUUCUUUAUUUUGAAUAAAACGGGAUUGUUUAAUCGGAAAGUAGUUGUGACGUUAUAUUUUUUAUUUUAUAUUUUGUUUUCAUUUUUGUAAGCAGAUUAAGGGAAAGUAUGUUGGAAUAUCAGGCCCUUAAAUAUCACUCACAAAUAACGUAGUAAAAGCAAAACAAAGGAUCUCAAGGUGGAACAAUUUUUUUUAUAUUAUUCAUGCAUCGAAAACAGAAAAAUACACCUUAUUUUAUACUAAGAAAAUGUUAAAUCUAACUAACAACUUUCCCAUAGUCCUUGCUAAACUGAAGUUAUGCCUAUUAUUUUCCAUGAGACUAACUAGACCGAGUCAGACUUACUUCUAAUACUCUUCCAAGGUUUUCUAUUUUUUUUUAUUUUCUACAUAAAGAAAACAUUGGACCCAAAUGACCCAUUCAAACUCGUAACCGACUUGACUUGUACUUUACCCAAACCAUCAACAGUAACCCAACAUUCACCCCCAUUAAUCUUGAUAAUAUUGAUCUUGCUUCUCUUGCUAUCCGAAUCGUUAUGAUUCAAUCUCGCUACUUGCUUUAAUAACAAAAUGUUCUUAUCUCUUACUCCUGUUAAACUUUCUAUUUUCUUGCUUGAUUCGAACUCUCUUGUUUGCUCACUUCGAAUCUUAUUGUUUGCUUGUAACUUGAUAUUCAAACCACCUAGGUUUGAUCUUGCUAUCUUGUUGUAAUCUUUCUCCAUCUUGCCUAGACUUCUUGCUGUCUCUUGCUUCGAUUUUUUUUUUCACUCUUGCUUGCCAGGGUCUUUCUUUUUCUUUGUUUCUCGAACAAAAGUGAUCACUUGUUGCUUGCUUUCUUGCUUCAUUUCUUAUGCUUCUUAACUACUACUUGUGAUUUUGCUGCUACUUGCUACUUGCUUUCUUGCUACUGAUCAAUGGAUCAAUCGAUCUUUAUAUCACCAAACUUCUUGCUUUUAUCCUCUCUUUCUUUCUAAGAACUAGGUAUUAACCUAGCUGCUAAUGAUACUAAGUAUUGGAAUAUCAGGCCCUUAAUAUCACUCACAAAUAACACAGUAAAAGUAAAAAAAGAUCUCAAGGUGGGAAAUUUUCAUUUAUAUAACUCAUGCAUCGAAAACAGAAAAAUACACCCUAUUUUGUACUAAGAAAAUGUUAAAUCUAACUAACAACUUUCCCACGUAGUCCUUACUAAAUUGAAGUUAUGCAUAUUAUUUUCCAUGAGUCUCGGUCUACACAAUACCAAGUCAGACUUACUUUUAAUACUCUUCAAAACUUUUCUAUUUCUUUUAUUUUUUGCAUAAAGAAAACAUUGGACCCAAAUGACCCAUUCAAACCCGUAACUGACUUGACCAAUACUUUACCCGAACCAUCAAGAUUAUCCCAACAAAGUAACACUAACACUUCGUUUAUUUAUAUAUUAGUAUUGAAGGGAUUACAUUUCCUAAAAGAUGGAUACGGUGUUGCUAGGGGAAAACGUGACUACAACGUAAACUUUAUGCCUACUUUUACUUAGAAGAUGCAUUCUUCAUUGUGUGUUUGUACCUUUCGAUUCUUUUCUGAAUUGAUCCUUCCAUAAAGGCGAUAUUGUCCUCCAUAGACUGGUCUUUAACACUGGCGUCUUCAAUAAUGUUUUUUAGGAUUUUCAAAUUGGGGUGGUCUACCUAUGUGGAGACGGUGGUGUGAGACAUGUUUUUAUGUUGAAUCCUUCAUGUUGUUUCAUUUGAGUUGCUUCCAUAAUGUCAUCUACCUCUUGGAGGUAAGUAAUGAGUGCUAGAAGAACGUUGUUGAGUUCUUUAUUCUUCAUUUAUUUUUGUUUUUGGGUUGGAAUUACUAAUUUCUGUAAUGUAUGUGUUUGUGGGGUUGUGUUUUUAUAUAGGAAUGUAAUGUGAGAGGUGGAUUUUUAUAUCGACGUGGACAUAUAUAGCAUUGUAUGCGUGGCAUUGUUUUUGUAGUAGCUUAUAUUACUCAUGUUAUUGAACCCUAUAUAGAUUAUGAGGUGGCUUAUUUUCCUAAUUUUACUGAUAGUCCUAUGCUAGUUUAUAGUGGUUAUGGAUUUAAUAAAGAUAUAGACAUGGGUUGUAACUUUAUAUUUGUGAUUUGAUUAUAGAAAACAAGUGCAAAAAUGGUCCCUGUGGUAUGCAUAUUUUCCAAGGUUUGGUCCAAAGCUUGACUUUUUUUGGUUUCAUGGUCCUUUUGGCCUGGUUUUUAUGUGGAAAUCCCCCCCCCCCUAACUCCCAUUAAAUUGUUGUUGUUAACACCAUCAUGUGCCUCCACUAUGAGGAUAUUUU
Molecule: long non-coding RNA, 4383 nt
Filed under: Lactuca sativa (garden lettuce)
Lineage: Eukaryota; Viridiplantae; Streptophyta; Magnoliopsida; Asterales; Asteraceae
Description: long non-coding RNA (LSAT_LNC005073)
Source: RNAcentral